This 234-nucleotide ribosomal RNA is filed under the name uncultured bacterium. RNAcentral describes it as "partial 16S ribosomal RNA". It matches the Rfam family "Bacterial small subunit ribosomal RNA", at positions 15 to 244 of the family's 1533-position model. The record is from RNAcentral.
GAUCAUGGCUCAGGACGAACGCUGGNGGCGCGCCUAACACAUGCAAGUCGAACGAGAGAUGAGGAGCUUGCUCUUCAAAUCGAGUGGCGAACGGGUGAGUAACGCGUGAGGAACCUGCCUCAAAGAGGGGGACAACGGUUGGAAACGACUGCUAAUACCGCAUAAGCCCACGGCUCGGCAUCGAGCAGAGGGAAAAGGAGCAAUCCGCUUUGAGAUGGCCUCGCGUCCGAUUAG